GAAAGGGCGGAGGCCACAAACAAGGUCCACGGGUUCACCCAAGGGGGUGAAGGGAGCCAGGCCCCUGGGUCUGCCCAGCCCCGGGAGCAGGCUGGGCACGGGAGCGAUGGUCUUCAGCCCUGACGGCUCCUUCCAAGUCUCCUCCUCCACUGCCUCGGGGUCCGCGUAUUCCCGAAUCUUCUGAGCCCCCAUUACACGAUCAAGCGGGCAAUGUGUCCCUAAGGCCCAGCCCAUCUUUUCAGAGGGGCCUUUCCCGUAAACCCCAAGGCUAAGAUCAGCCAGAGAGGCAGACUCAUGAACCCUGGGUCAGGCUUUUGGCUGCAGAGCAGACCACGUGGCCUGGCCGCCCCGGGGCUGCUGAGUCAGGAGAGGCACAGCCGGGAGGGAGCGGCGGCCUCAGCCCCCCUUACUUCUCCCCGACUCUCCCCUAACAGGCGCUCUGGCCCUAUCCUGGCUCCGCGGGGAGCUGGCUCUGGGACCGGAGGCUGUCCUUCCCGCUCAGGGCGCACGCCUCUCCAGUGUCAAAUGAAAGGGCUCGGCGCCAGGGCCUGUAGGUCCCUUCUGGCCCCUUCUGCCGCCCUCAGCUCCCCGGCCUGAGCCCGGGGCCCAGGGUCUGAGCCCAGGGUGGGGCCGGAAGGGGCUGCCGCUAGAAGAAGUUGACCACCCUGCGGACCGACUGGACGCGAGAGCUGUGGGCCUCCCAGUCCGAGUAGUUGCGGAAGUCACCCCGCUCCACCAGGUACAUGCGGCCGUGGUAGUUGGGCUCCUCGUACAGGACCCACCUGCGGCCAGAGGGAGGCCAGGCGGCCGUGAGCCGCUGAGCAGCACAGGGUCUGACCGCCUCCCGCCUGCCCGCCACCCCUCACCCCUCCCGGCCAAUGUGGGGGCCCGAGCUGAGGGGGAGAGGUGUGGGGCAGGGCCUGUGGGGCUGGCCUCUCCUCCUCCCUUCUGAUGCUCCCUCACCCUUGGCUCUUCCACCGCGGGGAGCAAAGCGGGGCUACACGCCCCGAUCCGGUCGCUGGGGUCCUUCCGGCCCAGGCCAUGGGUGCCCUGACUCUGUCUUUGCAGCGAACCCCACUGUGGCCCUCGCCCCCCCCAAAGCACUCGGCUGCUGAAGGAGCCUUCUCCUGGCUGAGACACAGACUCAGAAUUUCUGAGCCCAGCCCGCCCAGAGAAGGGAGUGACUGCCCAAGUCACACGCCACCCCCCUCACCACCACCCCACCCCCCAGUCGCCUGCUUAGGGCAGCUUCCCCGGCCACCCCCUUCCUGCCCCAUCCCGACUCCACAUCUGGCUCCUGGCGCAGUCCGCACAAGGGUCAGGGGUCAGGAAUGAAGAGAGAGGCCCAGUACGUGAGCCGCUGGGGAGCUCAGGGCAGACCUGGCUCACCCUGGCCUCCCCACACCCCUAGCCUUCCUGCCCCUCCCCCCUCCUCCCCCUCCUCAUGCCCGUGGGUGGCUCAGGCCCAAGGUUUCGGGGCGUAUAUGCAGGAGUCCCCAAAAGGAAGAAGAGGAAGGACAGGCUGGGCCUCUGCAGUAAACGUCUCCCGGGCUUCCUGCUGUGACUUUGGGGACCAGGCAUGAAGAGGGAGGGAGGAGGGGGCGUGGCCCAUCCACAGCAGGGACUGUGCUCUUUAGGGGGGUAGCAGGAAGUAGGGAGAGCGACCUGGCACAUUUCCCUCCAAAUGCCCCCCAGAACCCGUGUCUGUGGGGACAGGUCGAUCCUGAGCUGACUCAGGAACCAGUGGAACACCGCGGCUGGUGUCUGGGAGGUGGUAGGGAGACCUGCCUGGAGGCUCCCCAUCAGACCCCAGGAAAGGGCUUGACGGAGGUCACCACCCCCAGACCCGGUGGUCCAGGCCAUCACCCUGGCCAAGGGCUUACUUUUUUUUUUUUUUUUAAAGGUAGUCACAGGAGCAAAGGGUGAACCCCCGUAGGGAGGAGAGCAGAGCCCUGGGUGAGACGUGGGGCUGGCCAUACACAGCCGCUGAGUAAGCGGGAGCUCCGGGAGACCCCGGGCCCCUGCACUCAAAACUCUUAGCUCCCACCCUCCCCCGCCCCCUUUUCCUAAAGAGGCCCCUGGAGUCUUCCCAGGGUGGGUGUUGGGGGACUGUGGCUGGGGUCUCAGGACACCUUCCUCGCAAAGGUAUGACUCUGGCCUCGCGAGACAUAAUUUAGCCGGUCGUUUUUCAGGCAAACUGUUGUUCUGGAAUUCUACCCCCGGAUUCCCAGAGGCCUUCAACUGAGGGCAAACAUUUCUGAAAGGCAGGGAAAGGCAGACAGGAGAAAAGGAACCCUGGAUAGAGUCAGAGUGACAGAGAAAUAGCAGGGAGGGAGCUGAGUCCCCCUGGGACUCUGGGAAGGAGGAGAGAACCCCCCGGGGGGGGGGCCCGGGGAGGCGAGGGGUCCAGUGCUCCCUCUGGCUCAGCCACAACCUCCAUUCAGUCCCUCCCGUGACCACUCCUGACCCUCUCGCGACGUGCCCUGAUCCCCCACCUCGGGCACGCAGACAGCAACUGGACCCCUUGGCUGCUGUCACGGGAGCCACGUUCCCGGAACCCGUGUGGGGCUCUUCUGCAGAGGGGCCGGGACUGAGGUCAGGGGAGGCUCCCUGCUCCACACCGGGGACACUCUGACUUGACGCCUGGCUGCCACCCCUGCUGUUCACGAGCGAGCAGGGGCAGGUCACUUUCGGAGCCUCCGCUUGCUCCUCUGUAAACGGAGAUGACGCUACCCACUGGCUCACAGGAGGAACUGACUAUACGGGGGGCUGGCAGAAGCCAGGCCAGCACGGGGGUCCUGACCACUCUCCAGGAGCAGGGCAGACACGCCCUGGGCAAAACCCCCGUGGCCACAACCUGUCCACCGGAAGUGAGCCGCCAUGACGUCCAGCUCCCCGGAGGGGCUGUGUGGCAGGGGUCUGCCCGCUCGGUAGGAGAGCUCCAGCUCAGGGGUCCCCUUGGCCGAGUAGGACCGGGGUGUGCAGGGUGAGCGGGCUUCCUCUGGUUCGAGGGGACCAAAGUACUGUCCCCGAGCUCAGUCUAAUCUUAGAGAACCGUUAGUCCGCAAAGGGCCCUGCUACGUCUGCUCCCACUGGGGAGGCCUACCUCUGGGGCCCCAUGUCUCCUCACCACGGCCUUCUGGAGCCACGGAGGAAGCCUCCCCGCUGCUUGACUGGGGUAGAGGAGGCAGCUGAGGGCGUGCCGGGCCUCCCCCACUGCUGGGGUCGGGCCCGCCCGGCGGCCUCCCCACACACUUGGCUGUGCAGGGCCCAGCCGGGCCGCGGUCGGCGGCCUUGCGGCCUCUACUCACGCGCCGUCCCCAUACACCUUGACGGCGUUGACACAGUUCUUGGCCCAGCCCCGGCUCUGCAGGAAGGGACAGUCGUCCUGAAACUCCAGGCACUGGCCGGUGAAGUUGCACCCCUCGAAGAUCUCCAUGCGGAAAUUCUCCCCAUGCUGCGGGCCCGCGGGAGCGGAGGAAGGAAAGAAGGCAAACGGCGCUGAGUCCCAUUCCCCCCCAACACAGAACCCACGUGGCCAGAAACUCAGAAUCGCCCCGGGACUCAGGGCACCCGAUGCUGGGGGGGAGGGGGGGCCGGUGAGUGCCUGCCACCCCAACCUAAGUGGCCCACCCAGCACUCUGCUUGUUCUGGGACAUGAGACCUGGUUGGAUGAGAGGGGUCGAUCACUUUAAAAGGCUUCAGGGCCCCUGAACCAGUCCAAUCUCCUCUCUCCUCAACUAAAGAAUCCAAGGGUUGGAGCGGGCCAGACCGCCGGGGGACACAGUGGCCGCGCUCUGACCAGGGCCUGGGCCGCUGGGUUCCCUUCUGGUGCCUGCACUGGGGGACGUAGGCCCCAGCCACACCAACGCAUUCCUCUGCCCUUCAUCCCCACCCUGGGGCCUCAGGCCACGGGCAAGCCUCUCAAGGAUAAUAUUUUACAAACUGUAACAGAACCUUUUAUUAAAACACGAAGCCAAAAAUCUAAAACAAA
Molecule: long non-coding RNA, 3994 nt
Organism: Felis catus (domestic cat)
Lineage: Eukaryota; Metazoa; Chordata; Mammalia; Carnivora; Felidae
Exons: 2
Source: RefSeq, a predicted model, not a curated record